AUGGAUUUGAGUUACUAAAUAAAAUUGGUUUGGAGGCACGAAAGAGUGCUGAAGCAGGUUAUAUCGAAUCAGGGCUUGCAACGCCCAAAAGUUUGGAUGCUGAUCAUGAACAGAAGAAUAUUAGAAUGGUGGACUCAACAUUAACUGAUGUGAAGAAAGUAACAAAAGAUCUAUUAAGUCAAACUGAGUCUGUUUUAGGGGCAUUGAUGGUUCUGACAGCAACAAUUUCUCAAUUGAACAAGGAAGCAAAGCUUAUAGGAAAGAAAGAUACUAAAGAUGAGGGCUCAAAGAAAGAGGGAGAGAAGCUUGGUAGUUCAGGGGAUGGAUCAUUGUUAGAUAAUAGGAAUUCUGAGGAAAUGAAAGCCCUUUUCGCAAGUGCAGAAAGUGCCAUGGAAGCUUGGGCAAUGCUUGCUACAUCACUUGGCCAUCCUAGUUUCAUAAAGUCAGAAUUUGAAAAGUUAUGUUUCUUAGAUAACGAGUCUACAGACACACAGGUUGCAAUUUGGCGUGAUUUUAUGCGGAGGAGACUAGUUGUUGCCUUCAGGGGCACAGAACAAUCAAGAUGGAAG
RNAcentral lists this unclassified non-coding RNA (569 nucleotides) under Hevea brasiliensis (rubber tree). The record is from RNAcentral. Lineage: Eukaryota; Viridiplantae; Streptophyta; Magnoliopsida; Malpighiales; Euphorbiaceae.